RNAcentral lists this long non-coding RNA (430 nucleotides) under Salvia miltiorrhiza (redroot sage). RNAcentral describes it as "long non-coding RNA (SMIL_LNC005567)". The record is from RNAcentral. Lineage: Eukaryota; Viridiplantae; Streptophyta; Magnoliopsida; Lamiales; Lamiaceae.
AAUAGAUUUUAUGAUAUAUUAAAAAUUGAUGAUUCAUAUGUGCCAAUGAACUUAGUGAAGGUACUUUUAGAUUCUUAUUCAUUUAAAGAUGAAGUCUUUGUAUGUAAUGGUUUAAAACUUUUCAUAACUUUAGAGGACGUCUUGUUCAUAACUGGGCUUCCCGUAGAGGGAAAGCUAAUUGCUAAUGCAUCAAAAAGUAGGACAGCUUUUAAGGAUGUUUUUGAGCUGCCAUUCGAAGCGACUAUCUGUACAAUUGAAACAAUUAAAGACAUCGUGUUAAAUGUUAACAAAUCAAGAGCUUAUCGGAUGAAGGCAUUGUGGCUAAUCCUGAUAACCUGCUUUAUUGUUCCAACUGGGGAUGGUCACCGGGUGAAGGCUGAUCUUGUAGCUUACGUGAAUGAUGUGACUGCGGUUACAUCCUAUGCCUGGG